AGCUGGCAACUAUGCCAUUGCUGCCUAACUAGCAAAAACUAGUUGAGCCGUCGGGCGCGAGGCCCGCCAUCAGGCGUCGCGUUUCCGGCGUCGACAAAUGAUGGAUAGCUUCAACGUUUGGCUUGGCGAUGAAGAAGCGAACUUACUAGCGAAGCUGGUCUAACGCCAGCCUUAGUCUUUCGGCGGUGCGUUAGACGAGAAUAAAUGAAAGAACACGCGCGUAGACGAUUAGUUGUCGAUUUCUUCGGACGGGGGUUCGAUUCCCCCCACCUCCAAUU
RNAcentral lists this transfer-messenger RNA (278 nucleotides) under Candidatus Zixiibacteriota bacterium. RNAcentral's name for it is "candidate division Zixibacteria bacterium partial transfer-messenger RNA". It matches the Rfam family "transfer-messenger RNA", at positions 89 to 374 of the family's 374-position model. From Rfam's summary of the family: Bacterial tmRNA, also known as 10Sa RNA or SsrA, is named for its dual tRNA and mRNA-like properties. Its role is to liberate the mRNA from a stalled ribosome. To accomplish this part of the tmRNA is used as a reading frame that ends in a translation stop signal. Lineage: Bacteria; Pseudomonadati; Candidatus Zixiibacteriota. The record is from RNAcentral.